Molecule: long non-coding RNA, 1828 nt
Organism: Equus caballus (horse)
Lineage: Eukaryota; Metazoa; Chordata; Mammalia; Perissodactyla; Equidae
Source: Ensembl
GUCGUGGACUGAAUUCUAUCCCCCCAAAUUCAUAUAAUGAAGUCCUAAUGCCCCCCAGGAAAAGGACCUUUAAGGGGAAAAUUAAGGUUGAAUGAGGUCAUAAGGGUGGGGCCCUAAUCCAGUAAGAGGAAGAGAUGCCAGGAGUUGCGUGUGCACAGAGGAAAGGCCACGUGAGGACACAGAGGGAAGGUGGCUGUCUGCAAAUCCAGGAGAGAGGCCUCACGAGAAAGCCAUCUUGUUAGCAUCUUGAUCUUGGACUUCCGGCCUCCAGAACUAUCACUUCCUUUGAGGGACGCCAGCCACCAUGUUGAGCAGUCCUAUGAAUAGGCCGUUCGAUGAGGAACUAAGGCCUCAAGUCAAUAGCCAUAUGAGGGCGCCAUCUUAGAAGUGGACCCUCCAGCCCCAGUGAAGCUUUCAGGUGACUGCAGCCCUUGCCAACCUCUUGACUGCAACCUCACGAGAGACUCUGGGCCAGAAACAUCCAACUAAGCAGCUCUCAAAUUCCUGAGCAUUAUUCACAAUAGCCAAGACUUGGAAGCAACCUAGGUGCCCAUCAAGGGACGAAUGGAUAAAGAAGAUGUAGUGUAUAUAUACCCGAUGGAAUACUACUCAGCCAUAAGAAAUGAUGAAAUCUGUCCACUUGUGACAACAUGAAUGGACCUUGAGGGCAUUAUGGAGAAGACAAGCUGAAAGAUGGAAGGGUGUGAAGCAGAGCGCGGCUGAACAUAAGGACAGAAAGCGCCUAGAACCUUGCAGACACAACUGAGCGGCUGCAUCAAACCUGGCUUGCCUCCUUCCAAGCUUCUCCUUAGGUGUUUUUGGACAUUUCUCCAAGAGUGGCCAGAAGACCAUUGCAUCAGAUGAGCACCUGGAGUCUUGUGAAAAACACAAAUUCCAUAGACAUCCUGAAUUUUAAUCUGCAGGGGUGGCGUUGGAGGGGAUGAGAAGAGAAGCCUAGGAUUCUGCAUUUUAAAGGGGCUUCUCAGGGGAUGGUUGACUGGAAUAUGCUUUGUGGAAUUAUUUUAAGAAGUAACUAAUACGAGAUCGGAAAGCACCUUUUCCUCUUAGCCAAAAUUGUGCACAAGAGAAUCUCCACCAUCUGGGCCAGUUCAAUGAAAGAAGUGAAUUUUCCUUUUUUUCUCUUUCCUUCCUCCUUUCUAUAAAGUUCAUUCACUUAGUAAAUGUUUACUGAGAAUUCAUUAUAUGCUAGAAGCUGUGAAGACUUCUGGGACAGCAAACAAGACAUAGUUACUCCCCGCUAUGAUUGGAAAAGCUAGAGCAUUAAGGGUCUGAAAAGAGAAGUUGAAGGAUCAGAGAAAAGUCACUAGCCCUCCUGUAGUGCUGGCACAGGUGGGCCAGAUGGAGCUUGCAAAGUCUUCCGGGAAGCCAGGCACUUCAGCUGUCAGAGUGGAACCGUCCAGCCUGGAGACUCUGUUGGUCAGCAGGGCCUGCACUUGAGAGAAGAGCUGGGUGUAAAGCAGGGGAGAGCAAGGACAUACGGAACCUGCCACCAGUAUGGCGGAGAGUGGGGACAAGCUGGGAUAUGCCAGCCUCUCUGCGUGCUUCUCCCAGAGCAUGCUGCUUUAAGUCCUAGUACCAAAUAGGGAGAGAAUCUACCUACCAAAUCUCAUGCCAGCUUCUUUUUUUUCCAACUCUAACAUGAAUCAUGCAAGAAAGGGGAUUCUGGGAACAGUAGUUCCAACUAGUCCAAAUUAACACCAUACAUAUGAGGAGCUGGCUAAAAAAGUGAUGAAAGUUCGCCAGGAGGCCAACACACAAUUGAAAGUGGAAAAAUCAAUGUUAAGAUUGUGAGCAAAAGUGCUUGUUU